This is a long non-coding RNA of Eleginops maclovinus (Patagonian blennie), 572 nucleotides long. RefSeq lists it as uncharacterized. The record is from RefSeq and is a predicted model, not a curated record. NCBI's taxonomy places the organism in Eukaryota, Metazoa, Chordata, Actinopteri, Perciformes, Eleginopidae. The transcript has 3 exons.
AAACCACCUCCCUGUCCUUUCAACUUCUCUCACUCUGUGCUUUUCUCCGGAUCUUGUAAAUAGAUUGUUUACUAAAUUCUUGGUGCUGGUUUUACGUAAGCUUGAAAUUGCUCUUAUGGGUGGAUGGUGUGGCUUCUUGUCGUGUGCUACCUUUGAGAAGUGCCCCUUACCUUUUAACGAAGGGCUCUCGCAUUCAUUACCUUACAAGUCCACCUGUUUUUUGUAAUUAAAGUGUAAAUAAAACACUAUGGUUUAUACUCAAAAUAAUAUUUAUCUCUUAACAGUCUUGAAAAGUUUGAUUACUUGGAAAACAAGCAUUUCUACUACAAAGCUUUGACCAGCAUGUCUCAUACAUUACAUUUUUCAUCCCUUUUUUGUAUACGAUGUUUUGGUUUCAGUAUGGAAAUUGGUAAUAAUGGUUAUCAUAGUGAGAGGUCACAAGGUAUCCCAAAUCCUAUGAUGACAAGCAAUGAGAGUAGAGGGAUCUGCUGUUGUGAAUCUAAAAGUGCAUCCCUACCUAUGAUACUAUGAACAGGUUCCCGCGGGCCUCGGCUCCUCCGAGGCACAUCGAC